UACGUAGGGCGCAAGCGUUGUCCGGAAUUAUUGGGCGUAAAGAGCUCGUAGGCGGCUUGUCACGUCGGCUGUGAAAUCCCGAGGCUCAACCUCGGGUCUGCAGUCGAUACGGGCGGACUGGAGUUCGGCAGGGGAGACUGGAAUUCCUGGUGUAGCGGUGAAAUGCGCAGAUAUCAGGAGGAACACCGGUGGCGAAGGCGGGUCUCUGGGCCGAUACUGACGCUGCGGAGCGAAAGCGUGGGGAGCGAACAGG
RNAcentral lists this ribosomal RNA (253 nucleotides) under uncultured bacterium. RNAcentral's name for it is "partial 16S ribosomal RNA". It matches the Rfam family "Bacterial small subunit ribosomal RNA", at positions 524 to 776 of the family's 1533-position model. The record is from RNAcentral.